This is a non-coding RNA of Styela clava, 329 nucleotides long. Lineage: Eukaryota; Metazoa; Chordata; Ascidiacea; Stolidobranchia; Styelidae. The record is from RefSeq and is a predicted model, not a curated record.
AAAAACUUCUGCGACGGCACUUUUUGAUGGCAGCAACCACCCCCUACACCAUGACUCAAUGGUUAUUUCGUCUUCGGUAGGAUUAUAGUUUAGCGUUAGUAAUCAAAAAACUAGAGCUAUCGAAAUAUCCACAUCGAUAAAUAUUAAAGCAGUCAGAGUGAUGACAAUGGAUUCUAAGAUUGUACAUCACACCAUUCAAAGAUUCAGUGACUCAACCUGCGAUGAUGUUUGCAGAUACUUUACGAAAAACGUGAACGGACGACAGAACAUUGAUGACAGCUUUUACGUGUUCGACCUCGGAGAAUUGACAAAGCUGUACGCUCUGUUGG